Molecule: long non-coding RNA, 437 nt
Organism: Astatotilapia calliptera (eastern happy)
Lineage: Eukaryota; Metazoa; Chordata; Actinopteri; Cichliformes; Cichlidae
Source: Ensembl
AACUACUACCAGUACUACAACUACUCCAACUACUACUAGUACUACAACUACUCCAACUACUCCAACUACUACUACAACUACUCCAACUACAACAACUACCACGAGUACUCCAAUUACUACACCUACAUCAACUACACCCAGUAAACCAUCAUAUGUUACAGUUCUCAAAUUGAAGAUGACCUCUUUGGUGGACUUGUCUAAAAUUGAUAGAGAUACAUUCCUUACACAGGGUCCCUGGUCAAGCUUCCCAAUACAUAUCAACCUGCUGAAAGGUAAUCAGAGACUGCUGGUGGCCACACGCCCUUGAUUUAAAACUCGUGGUGAUCGGGCCUUUCAGGAAGUGGCGCCAUAGUUGUGGAAUACUCUUCGAUUGUUUUUAUGCUGUACUGACUCCAUUGAUUCUUUUAAAAAGCAGCUGAAUACAUUUUUAUAUAGAC